CUCCCUGAGGCCGAGAAACCACAGGUACCGUUUAGAAGCCCGACCCAGGCUCAGGCACUGCAGUGGUACCCACCCACCUCCUGCCUCUAUGGUUGAAGCGAAGCUUUGGAGGCUGCCAUGGGCCGAACCGUGUCCCCACCAUGCCCUCCCCUGCAAACUCCUACGUUGCUCUCCUAGCCCCCAGCACCUCAGAACGCGACUGCAUUUAGAGAUAAGCCUUCAAAGGGGUGACCAAGUCAAAAUGAACCCUUUAGGGUGGUCCCUAACUGCGUCUGACUGGUGUCCUUAUAAGAAGAGGAGAUUAGGAAAGGCCGGGGGAGACACAUGGAGAAGACAAGACGGCCGUCUCAAGCCAAGGACAAGCCUCGAGAGAAGGCAAGCCUGCCGACACCUUGAUCUUGGACUUGCGGCCUCCAGAACCAGGAGAAAAUAAAUUUCUGUUGUUUGAGCUACUCAGUUUGUGGUAUUUUGUGCUGGCAGCUCUGAAAACUGGUACAGAGACUAAGGAAAUUUCUGUAAGCGAUGAAAUAAAUGUUAGUACGAAGGAGAUCAAGGCAGCAUUCAGUUGCCAAAGUGAAAACAGGCAAACGUGGUAAAUGGAAGACAAAGUGAAUUCUAAUGACAAAAGGACACUGGACCCGACAGACCUUGUGAAUGAACAGCCCAAUCCUAACACUUAAUCUCGCUUUCUUUUGUAGUAUUUUUUUUCCAGCUUCUACCUGUAAUACCAAAAAAAUCAUUUUCCCGUACAGUAUCUCAUACCAAUACUUUUUCAAAAUUAGCCUUCCAUCGUAAGUGUACUUAAAGAAGUCAGGAUCCUUAAGUCAGCCGGACCAAUUGUUUAAUCCCCACUCCUCAAAUGGUCCCGGCCUUCAGUACAGGAAGAGGCGGAGUCCGCCAGGCUGCAGGAAAGAGCACAUCUCAACAGCCGGCGAGGGAAGCAGGCUGCCCGCUAUUCCUACGGGGCUCUGUAAGAGAGCCGACCAUGGAGGAUGGCUUUUACUAUGGUGACAUGUCUCAGGGUAGUUCAGAUGCUGAACUGUCCAUCUUUGAUACUGAGAAUAGCUUUAAGGGAAAAAGAGGUCAUUUUAAUAACAUUUUCCCCCAGUGCUAAACUGGGAUAUCGAAACAUGCUCAUCUAGCAGUUUUAGCAGGACUUAUCCACAUCUGGGUGUUUUGCCUAUUUUGUGGCUGCCUUAUUCUGUAGGGACAUGAGCUCCUCUAGUGAGGAGCUGUACCUCAUGUGGAAUAUUUUCACGCGUAGAAUACAUACAAUAUCUGGCACACGGGGAACUCCAUUCAUUCCCACCAUUGCCUUUCCAUAGCCAUAGAUUUUACCACUAGUGGUCACUGGAAAGAUCCUAAAAGGUAACUAGGCAGCUUAGGGGAAACGCCUUUGACUUGACUGGAAACAGAACCUUCUUUUGAAAAUUCACAAAAUUCUCAAAUCCGUGUUUUUCAAAUUGUGGGUCACCACCCAUUUGGGAUCAAUAAAUUGAUUUUGGGGGAGCUACCAGUAUUUUAAAAUAUAAAUUACCAAUAUAACAGAGUAAAAUAGAAAAAAUCAGAGUGCGCUGUACUUGGCAAAAGUCAGUGUGGUUUUGUGAAACUUUUGCUGUAUAUAUGGAGUGGGUUUCUGUCUAUUUCUUACUGUGGGUCAUAAUCAGUGACCUCUGAACUCCUUUGCCCUUAACUAACCUUUCUUCUUCUAAGGACACAGUGACUGAAUGGCCCUGCCUGGAUUUAAACCCCUGAAAAGAGACACGAUUAUUUCUGUCUUGGAAGAGCCCUUGUUUUUGAAAGGGAAAGAUCCAAGCCAACCUUAUAACUGUUAAGGUCUCUUGAAAGUUGUUUACAUGGUGAAUUAAUUUUGCUCAAGUCUACUUCUGAAACAUCAUCUUCAAAUAUUUGUGUAAUGGGAAUGUUCUAACUGGAACACUUCAUUGGCCUCUCAUUGCUUGAAGCCAAGGGGCUGAUUUGCAUCGCUUUCUUUAAUUGGGGUUCUGGUCUCCAUAAAUUAUGUGGCUUCAGCAUUGCUCUGGCUUCUGUAACUAGCCAAGCUCACUUGGAUAAAUUUCUGAAGAAAUACCCGUGUUUACUUCUACAUGGGCGUCGGGGAAAGUUCUGGGGUCCUGGCCGGAGGAUUAAUAUCCAGGAUAAAGGAAGCAGCAGCUGGACCUGCAAGGCUGGGUAGGAAUACCUCUUUCACCUCCUUCCUGGAGAAGCCCCAGUUGCGUAAAAGGUCAGAACGUGCCCACAGAAGAUAAAUAAACCUUUCUAGGGCCCACGCUAAUGCACUGCAGAUUUUCUUCUUCCUUGUUCUUAUAUGGUCUCCUAACUCUGAAGAACUGUCUCAAUGAUACAGACAAAGGCCAGGCACGCUCCAGCCUGCCUGGGGAAUUUGACUUGAUAAGAGGAAUAAAAAGAAGGAUAUCUGAAGUCUGUCUUUUUACGUACAAGUAAAUCUACCAACAAAAUACGGCUAGCAACCGACAAGUCUGAUGGAAGAAAGAAAGAGACCAAACCCUAAGAUUAAACCCGGUGCUGGUCUGUUGCUAGGCUGAAGAAAGCAAACACCCAUUGGCUGGUGAUCUUUAAAGGCAAGCAACUUCAUAUUCCAUCCUCCCUCCUUUCGACAAGCGUGUCGUGAGUACUUCCUACGGGUCAAGAGCUGGCACUAAAGCUCUGAGAGAUACAAAGACGACUAAGACAGAGUCCUGUCCUCAAAUGGCACACAGCCCAGUGGGGAAGCCAGCUCAGGAGACGGAGCUGGGGGGGUGGGCAGGAGGUGACAUCUGGAGUCGGUAGGAAUUGGCAGAGACUAAAAGUUGGUGAAGGAGCAAGGGAGGGAGAAGAACACAGUACAGCAGGGAUGAGAAAAGGGACGGGGGUUAGCGACAGGAGACAGAAGCCCAGGCGCUCCAGGAACCAGGACAAUCUUUAACGACAGAGCGAGCCUGUAUGUGUGAGCAAAGGAAGUACAGCCAGCCCGGGACCGCAGUCUCCCGCCCACUGGGACUUCCAAAAGGGCAAAUUAUUUGUUUCUGAGCACUGCUUGUGAUGGAGCAUUUGCAGCAGGGUGAGUUUCCUGAUUCUGGUUCACAUAUAGCUUAAGAUGCUAGAUAUAUCUGGCAAGAAGCAGCCAGAAAAGACACGAUGCUUCCGAAAGCUUCGUCUUUUUCAAACCUCCUUUCUCUUUAUAAGAGCAAAGCAAAGCAAACCCCCAACCACAAAGGUCCCCUCUAGUUUCUUUAGAAAAUUCCUAUACAAAUAUGACUACAGUUUUGCUUUUAAGAUAGUGAAGGAUCUUUUUGCCCCGCCUCCCUUUUUCCCUUUAAUUCAUCCCCAAACAAAAAGAGAACAAGAAAGAGAAAAACGGCGUCUCUGAUGUAAUCAGGAGACACCUGGCGGCCAGAGGCAGACGUGGUCUGGGCCCAGAGGAGGAACGCGAGCCAAGCGGCCGCCAGAGAGGAGUCAGCAGUGGAUGUCUGGUCCCCACGUCUUGGGACGGGGCACUCCCGGGCUGAGGCCGGUGCUGCAGGCAGGACUGGACCUGGAACCCGCCUGGCAGGCGCCCAGGUUAACGCCGGAGAAAUGGAAGGAGAGAAGACCCAGGCCCGGUGGACGGGGUGCAGGGGGGCGGAGGACCGGGAGCAAGGAGAGUUGAGGCACAUCUGACCCGGGCCACAGCCUGGCUGAACCCGAGGACACCAAGCUGAGUGAGAUGAGCCCGGCCCAAAAGGACACAUACUGCACGAUUCCACUUACAGGAGUGCCGAGAGCGGGGAAAUUCCUAGAGACAGAAGGAAGAACAGAGGUGACCAGGGGCUGGCGGGGGCAGGGAGAAUGGGAACUGAGUGUCUAAUGACCCUAGUGACCACAGGAUCAGUUGGGGAAGAUGAAAAAGUUCUGGAAAUGAAUCGUGGUGAUGGUUGCACAGCACUGUGAAUGUACUUAAUGCCACUAAACCAUACACUUAACAGUGGUUACGAUGGUAAAUGUUAUUCUAUGUUUCUUUUACCACAAUAAGAAAACCCACCACAACAGCAAAGAAAGACACUGAUGUCCGCUCCCCAGGGCACCUCCGGAACGCUGACGGCCAGGCGGUACUCCCGCCGGCAGGGCCUGGGAGAGCCUCUUCAGAAGGAACUAAAUAGUCCCAGAGAACAGACCUGAAGAUACCGCCGGGUGAGGGUGCUGACAGCGAGCCCGGUGGCCCAGAGGCCCUGGUUCCCACAAGGCGUCUCACCGAAGCAAGGCGGAGAAGGUAAGCCUCAGAGGAGGACAGGAUGACAGGGACAGAAGCGUAGACAGGGGGCUCUGAGGGUCACCCCAGGAGGUCUGCUGUCCUACCAGCGAGUGAUUUGGAAAGAGGCGAGGAGCGAAUUUUCAAAGAAGCAAAUAUACAAAAACUUCCCCAAAUCUAUGGCUGCGAGUUUCCAAAUCAAAAGAGCAAAACAGGUGCCCAGCAUGACAUAAAAAUGACAGAAGUGUCACACCAAGGCACAUGGCCAUAAAUGUCAGGGACAGAGAAGGAUCUUGAAUUCUUCCGUAGAGGAAACGGGAUCCUAGGGAGAAGGUAGGGACAGAAGCCAUCAGCCUUCAGGUCAGCCACUGGAGAAGCUGAAGUCAGUGGAAGAAGUUGCUUAAAAUUCUAGGUGAGAACGUUUGGUGGACUAGCGUUCAAAACAUACACAAAUUUGGUAAUUGUACUUAUUUAGCUAUUUAAGUAUAUUUAGGACACGAGUCUCUCAAGAAGAAGUCCCAUUUGGAGCGGAGUCUAUCUUCCAGGUACGAACUAGAAGGAUGUUAUCUUUGAUGCCUCCAAUUUUCACGAGACAAUCUCCAAAGUCGAGUACGCAACAAUCGUGAUCUGUUUACUCAUUCGGUGUCCCCACCCACGAGGAGAGAGCGCUUCAGGACAGCACCUCCUCAUAGCUUUCGGUCCAGGGGCCACACGUUUAAAUUCAUAACAAUAAAGUAUGGUUGUAAUGGACUAACAGUAAACGAAGACAAAGGAGUUUUGAGAUUUGCCCCGAAUACAACGAGUAGGUGCAAAGCCCUUUCCUAAAAAGCAGGUUACGGAAAAGCCCUUUUCUGCGUUACAUCCUAUGUGCACAGAAGUUCGUGGUGCCAGCUGCGCCACUUCAAAGCGUCUAUUCAACGAGUAGGACUGCAAAUGGGAAACGACACUCUCAUGCUCCAGUAGCACUUACUUCGUAUUUGACGACUAGAAUUUUGAUAAGUUUACUAACAACAUUGUACAUUUUAUUCUCACAUUCCCAGAGUUUGUUUUAUGUGGGUGCUAUCCGUUUUGGCAUCCAGUCACUCUGUGUAUUGGGUACAGCUCUAGUUAUAUACGCCUUGAUAUUCCUGGGAUGUCUCCGACAGAUGCACCAGAAAUUGAGAACAGUGGCUGCCUUGGGGGCAGGGGUUGUGUGGCUGCAGACAGACGCACCUGUCACCUUACACCUCUCUGUACCUCUUGGACUUAGAACCAUGUGACCAUAUUCUUAUUUAAUAAGAACUAAAAUGGAGGAAAAUCUUUACUUAGGAAAUGACAGUCUGUGUAUAAUAUUUCGAAGUAUGAGCAGCAAAUGUUAGGAUAAAUAGCCAAGAUUCCUGAAAGCCAAUGCCGCUCAGGAGCCGACAAGAGGGAGGCCCCGGGGGCAAGUUUCCAUCAGAAGCCUUUUGCACUACCUGAUUUUUGAAUGUAUUUUUUAGACAAGAAGUAAAAUAUUUAAUAAAAACAUGCCUGUAAAAAGUUAGCCACUUCAGGAAUUUAUUAAGAAAAAAAUAAUGUAACCUGUUACUUCAUUGUUCAAGGAGAGUAACAUUUUGAUAUAUUACACCUUUUAGUCUUUUUUUCUUCCUCUGUUCAUUUUAUAGGAGACUUUCUUAUUUCUUUUCUGUCGUUAUUCCCCAUUUCUUUCUCUUAGUGCCUUUUUAUUUUGCAAAGCUAGGCAUAUAGCUUCUAAACCACACAAAAAAGACACAUAGCCAGCACUUUUCCGGGUAAAGAAAAUAUUCUCCGAUAACUUAAUUGUCAGUGGGCCUGUCGUAAGCAGUUUUAUAACAGUGAUGGGACUGGCAUGUACUGUCUAUGUUCACCAGUUUCCAUGCUCUCUAUGAAUCGAGUCCUCUGCUAAUUAAGUUAGUAGGAUUGUCCGCUCUGUUCACCUGUCCUAAUGCUAGAGGCUCUCAUAACAUACAACGCUUGUGACUGGCGAACCUCAUCAACCCAGAACUCCCGAAAGGAUGACACAUCCCUGGUCCUAUCAGAGGACAAGAGACUGCGGAAUAGACCAACUGAUGCUCUCUGGUUGGUCCUAUCAGGUUUGUGUGUGUGAUUCUCACUGCUUUUCUGCUGGUUAUUUUAUGAUUUUUAUGGUUUUUAUGGUUCUUCACCCCAAGUAUUUUCUAAUCAUGGGCAUUGAGCACAGCAGGCCAGAGUAAGGAGGCCAGGAUGCCGCAGCAGCUCUGCCAGGAGCUCGUGAUGCAGUUCUGGGCAAGAGUCCCCUUCUCAGAGCCUCAGGGCCUCGUCCGCACAUCACUGUGGAGCAUGCAGUACAUACCACACAACAUGUGUGAGGCUGCAUGUUUAUCUGAUCAGAUGUCAUAUAUAUAUAUAUAUAUAUAUAUAUAUAUAUAUAUAUAUACUGUGAGUGUAUACUCUUUCUCUAUAGGUUAUACGUUACAGAUAUAUAAUGUCAGAUAUCCAGGCUGAUCAAGAAAUACUGCCGCCAUUUUGCAGCCGCGCUAUUCAUGAACUUCAGUGUCUAGAACAGAGCGGCCGUCAGAAUACGAAAUGUGGGCACCAGAGGGGUUUCACGGUACAGUCAGCCCACUGCGCAGGCACCGCUGAAGGCCUUCCCCUCCGCUGGCCCCCCAGGCCCCAGCUUCUCUAUGGCUCAACCCCAGAGAGCAGUGAGGAUGAUCAGGAGAGCCAAGACCAUGCGACUGCUCUGUCCCAAAGCUUCCGGUCUCCUAGAGUCAGAGCCGGGGCCCCUGCGUGGCCUCUGAGGCUCUCGCAUCCGCUCCAGCCCAGCUCCGCACCUCCUGCCUCUGCUUGGGACCCCGUGGGACCCCAGGCCCUUCUGUCAAGUCACCGAGUUCCCUGCUGCAGCCGGGAUCACCGUUCAGACCCUGCAACCCUACCCCACCCCCAUUCCGACGCCACUGUACCCCCUCGGUGGCGCCCCUCCCUCCUACGCACUGGCCCUAUUACCAGUGAUGAUUAUUAGUGAUUGUUAUCAGUCUCUCCGUACUCAAGUAUUAGCUCUCAAGGGCAAAAGCUGGGACUGCUCCAUCCGGGCACCUCGUGAGUGCCUGGCACCCUCAGAUAUUUUCUGAACGAGGGAAUGACUUAAACAUUAAAGAUUUAAUUUAAAAUUGGCCGUAUCCAUUAAUUUUGUUAAAAGCCAAACCUUAACAAGAAUGUGACAGCUCGGGGGAAAAUCCCUCUCCUUGCACAUCCCAGCAUGGAUCCUGGAAAAAGGGAGAGCUGGAAGAAUCUGGCUCCGAGGAGGUUAGGAACCCGGAAAUACUGAACGACGUCCCCACGUCCGCAAAAUCACAACUAGCACUCUUGAAACAUGAGAACAUGACACCGAAUGGAAAGGCAUCUAUUCUUAGCCUGUACACCUGUCCCUCGACAUCAGCCUUCUAGAGCGCGUAUCCUUCGUGUUUAAAUGUUCUCUAAUGACCCAGAGCAUGUUUAUAUGGAAUAUAAGUAUCUCUUGUGGAUAAAUCUCUUGAAGCCUGUACCAACGGGGAUUUUAGAUGCUACUCCAAGCUUUCAUUUGAUAGGACCAAACAUUACUACUCUUCUAGGAACUGCGUAGGAUGAUGAUCUGCCCAGAGUGAGAUGACGAUGAAACUAGGUUUCUCACGAGAAGCUGGUGAGGCUCAGGUCGACUUAGCCGCCGGGUCACAUUGGGAGGCGAGCCUGGCCCCGGGGAUCUCGCAGGGUCACCUCGAGGGAAGCAGGGACUCCGGCACUUCUGCACCCUGGAAAGGCAAGGGCUUUCCACCAACUACCAUAGAAUUUUAAAAAUACAUUUGCCUUCACGAUGUCUUUGCUUUAGACUUUUCUGUGGAGUCCAGACCUAGCGCACAGGGCAGAGCCAGGAAGGGCAGGGCUGUGGUUGGGGCGGAGCCAGGGGCGGGGCCUAUGCGUGGGGCGUGGCUGGGUGGAGCCUGGGGUCCAGCAUGGCCUUGGGGGGGUUUGACUUCCGGUUCUGCUGUUUCCAGCCAGGUACGACCCCGGCAGGACACUUACUGUUUCUGUGCCUUCUUGGCACUUCCAUCCAUGAAAUGAGUAAACAGCAGAACCUCCCCGGUUGCCGUCAGGGUUAAGUGGGUGGGUCUGCAUGCUUGGCAAAGAGGAAAUACCAGUGAGGGUAGAUAUCAUUACUUUUGCCCUGAGGUGACCUACUGUUUCCUUCUAGAACCUGAGCUCUCUGCAUUAGGCCACCUGUUUCUCGUGAGAACAGUUAUUUCUGUGAGACUCUAGGCUUGUCAAAUUCUACAAAACCGAUGUAAUAAAUUCUGACUCAUGCACUUUGAGGCCACAUCUCCUGGGUUUGAGUCCUGGCUCUAGCACUUACUAUGGGGCCUCAGAAGCUUCUGAACCUCUCCUUUUUUCUCGUCUAUAAGGUGGAAACAAUAAUACUACUUAUCACAUAGGGUUAUUGUAAAGAUAAAUGAGAUGAUGUAUGGAAAGCACUUAGAAUAGCCGCUGCCACGCUGCAAAUGCUCACUACCUUUUAGCUACUUCUCCUCAGACUAUUUUCCUUGACCUGCCAUUUUGCUGAAGAUAAUUAAGGCCAAGGAUAAAUUAUAAUCCACCUAAGAGAAUGCAAACUUGAGGCAGCAGAACUACCGAAUGUCAAGAAAGUGCUUGGCUCUUUCAGAAGAGAGAGAGCACUGCAAAAAAACUCACUCAACUUUCACGAGUGAGACCAUCAGAAUCCUCAGAUCAUAAGCAACACAGAAGAAUCUCCAACAGAAAAGAUCAGUGCAGCCCCAGACAGGGCUGGCCCCAGAAUGACAGGCCAGGAACUCGAAGAUUUACUCUGUGUGUUUUUUGGUUUACAUAUAUAAUAUGGAAGGUGGGAAAA
Physeter macrocephalus (sperm whale) is the source of this 9122-nucleotide long non-coding RNA. RefSeq lists it as uncharacterized. NCBI's taxonomy places the organism in Eukaryota, Metazoa, Chordata, Mammalia, Artiodactyla, Physeteridae. The record is from RefSeq and is a predicted model, not a curated record. The transcript is spliced from 3 exons.